This 553-nucleotide ribosomal RNA is filed under the name uncultured Bacillus sp. Its description in RNAcentral is "bacterial SSU rRNA". It matches the Rfam family "Bacterial small subunit ribosomal RNA", at positions 975 to 1533 of the family's 1533-position model. The record is from RNAcentral. Lineage: Bacteria; Bacillati; Bacillota; Bacilli; Caryophanales; Bacillaceae.
CAGUUCUUGACAUCCUCUGACAAUCCUAGAGAUAAGGCGUCCCCUUCGGGGGCAGAGUGACAGGUGGUGCAUGGUUGUCGUCAGCUCGUGUCGUGAGAUGUUGGGUUAAGUCCCGCAACGAGCGCAACCCUUGAUCUUAGUUGCCAGCAUUCAGUUGGGCACUCUAAGGUGACUGCCGGUGACAAACCGGAGGAAGGUGGGGAUGACGUCAAAUCAUCAUGCCCCUUAUGACCUGGGCUACACACGUGCUACAAUGGGCAGAACAAAGGGCAGCGAAACCGCGAGGUUAAGCCAAUCCCACAAAUCUGUUCUCAGUUCGGAUCGCAGUCUGCAACUCGACUGCGUGAAGCUGGAAUCGCUAGUAAUCGCGGAUCAGCAUGCCGCGGUGAAUACGUCCCGGGCCUUGUACACACCGCCCGUCACACCACGAGAGUUUGUAACACCCGAAGUCGGUGAGGUAACCUUUAUGGACCCAGCCGCCGAAGGUUGAUUGGGGUGAAUCCUAACCCGUAUCGAAGGUGCGGCUGGAUCACUCCGGUGCAGGUUGGAUCCC